CUGAAAAAUGUUAAGUUUAUUGGCGACAGUGCUCGUAAGCUUGUCAGCGAGACUAAUUCCAAAUUCAUGGUGGGAAAUGAAAAGCACUAAAUAAUAUCUCUCCAAUCCAGCCCAACAAGACUGAAAUGAAAUAUCAUACCUUGAAAGAUUGAGCUGCCUGCCAUGAUGCCAGCAUGGUCUAUAAACUGGAGGUCUACGGACUGUCGUCUGCUAGACCCGAUUUUGACGAUUCGUCUGCUAAUUUUUGAAGCAAAAAUCCGGGCAUCCACUAGAGGCGCUGACUGUCCGCAUCAGUCAUCAAAUUACAUUGGUAAGCCCGCGGAAAAUAAGAAAUUUUGCUUAAACAUUUUGGUUUCAACUUAAUUUUUGUAUUACAUCUGGAUAUCUUACACUGUGUAAAUAGAUACACUGAUAUUGCACAUUAAUAAACAUUUUACACAACCAA
This is a long non-coding RNA of Daphnia magna, 445 nucleotides long. RefSeq lists it as uncharacterized. The record is from RefSeq and is a predicted model, not a curated record. NCBI's taxonomy places the organism in Eukaryota, Metazoa, Arthropoda, Branchiopoda, Diplostraca, Daphniidae. The transcript is spliced from 2 exons.